Molecule: transfer RNA, 86 nt
Filed under: Staphylococcus pseudintermedius
Lineage: Bacteria; Bacillati; Bacillota; Bacilli; Caryophanales; Staphylococcaceae
Description: tRNA-Ile
Source: RNAcentral
GGGCCUAUAGCUCCUAUGCUGGGCGGUUAGAGCGCACGCCUGAUAAGCGUGAGGGGGUCGGUUUUUCCCGUCCAUUUAGUCCACCA